CGCUGGCGGCAGGCCUAACACAUGCAAGUCGAGCGAACCCUUCGGGGUUAGCGGCGGACGGGUUAGUAACGCGUGGGAAUAUACCCUUUGGUACGGAAUAGCCUCGGGAAACUGAGAGUAAUACCGUAUGUGCCCUUCAAGGGAAAGAUUUAUCGCCAAAGGAUUAGCCCGCGUUGGAUUAGGUAGUUGGUGGGGUAAUGGCCUACCAAGCCUACGAUCCAUAGCUGGUUUGAGAGGAUGAUCAGCAACACUGGGACUGAGACACGGCCCAGACUCCUACGGGAGGCAGCAGUGGGGAAUCUUAGACAAUGGGCGCAAGCCUGAUCUAGCCAUGCCGCGUGGACGAUGAAGGCUUUAGGGUUGUAAAGUCCUUUCAGAUGGGAAGAUAAUGACGGUACCAUCAGAAGAAGCCCCGGCUAACUCCGUG
Molecule: ribosomal RNA, 427 nt
Filed under: uncultured bacterium
Lineage: Bacteria
Description: bacterial SSU rRNA
Rfam family: Bacterial small subunit ribosomal RNA
Source: RNAcentral